GGGAUCGGCCUAAAAAUCUAUGCCCACAGGAAUGAUCUAGGUCCAACUCAAUGGACGAACAGCUGAGCUUCCUUUCUUGGCUCCUCAGAGGACUUUCAGCUUUCUCAAUGGAUGUUCUCUAAAGGAGAAACAUGACAUCCAAACCAAGAAGAUAAGCAACCAGGAAAGGAGGAGUUUUGGGGAACAGACAGAAGGAGGUCUCCUGACAAAGAUGCCUUUUGAAGAACAGAAUUUGAGAAACAUUAAAAUGCAUGUACAUUCCAUGAGCUUAUUAACAAAGACAAAGAGAUACAUCUAAACAUUUAUCAGCUGAAGUCGGCUACUACUCUAAAGGGCAAGCAGAAAACCAGUGGCUGGAAGGAUAUGUCACGGAGUUCUUUGAAGAGGUCAAGAAUCUGGGAACACUCAGCCCUAGCCCUCAGUCCUAACUACCAGCAAAACCUGGCCUCAAGUAGAAGGCAGAGCAACAGAAUCUUAGGAAUCAAAACACUGAAGGCAUCCCAGAAGACAGAAGAGGCUUUCAGAUCUUCUGGAAUCCUGUGUCAUCAGACGUGGGUGUUGGGACUUGAACCCUGGUCUUCUAAAAGAACAGCAAGUGCUCUGAGCUGAUGAGCCAUCUCUCCACCCCAAACUUUAAAGUACUGAGUAAAAAUAAAACUUUGAGUAAAAAUAAACUUUUAGUGAUAAAAUU
Molecule: long non-coding RNA, 691 nt
Organism: Meriones unguiculatus (Mongolian gerbil)
Lineage: Eukaryota; Metazoa; Chordata; Mammalia; Rodentia; Muridae
Exons: 5
Source: RefSeq, a predicted model, not a curated record